UCUACACAUCGUUUUUUUUAAUGCUUCUGAAAAGCCCUGUAAAGGGAUGAAGUAAUCAAGUAAUGUAUGUACGUAUGUAAGAACUCCUGCUCUGUAGUCUGGCUAUAUUGGACUGGGUUACCUGUGUACUAGUCCCAGUCCCCACCGCCAGGCUCUGUACAUACGGGAUAUUCCAAUAGUUAGUCCUCUUUGAAUCAUCCAUCUUGAAAGGAAAUCUAUUCCUUUCAUCAUGAGAGACAAGUGGAAGAAGAAGCGCAUGAGGAGAUUGAAGCGCAAAAGAAGAAAGAUGAGAGCCAGGUCUAAGUAAACACCACGAGCACAAGAGACAAUUAACUUCCAGAUUACUGUUCUGCUCCUUGGAGACAAGAAUAAUACAGAAAUAGCAAGAUCAUCUAUAUUAGAAGUGGCAGUACACUUGUCCAAGAAUACAUUCCACCUUGACUAAAACUUAUAAGCUUCACCAAGAAUAAUCCAUUGUAAACAAUAUCUACAAUAAUAUUAUUCAUCAGGACUGAGGAUAUAAUGAAAGUUGCAGUACAUCUAGUAUUUUGGAUGUUAAUGGUGUACAACUCCAUCAUGUAAACCUGUCUUUAGUGCAAAUAAAUUUGUUUUUCCUUUAAAA
Molecule: long non-coding RNA, 622 nt
Organism: Actinia tenebrosa (Australian red waratah sea anemone)
Lineage: Eukaryota; Metazoa; Cnidaria; Anthozoa; Actiniaria; Actiniidae
Source: RefSeq, a predicted model, not a curated record